This 226-nucleotide ribosomal RNA is filed under the name uncultured bacterium. RNAcentral's name for it is "partial 16S ribosomal RNA". It matches the Rfam family "Bacterial small subunit ribosomal RNA", at positions 15 to 230 of the family's 1533-position model. The record is from RNAcentral.
GAUCAUGGCUCAGGAUGAACGCUGGCGGCGUGCUUAACACAUGCAAGUCGAGGGGCAGCAUGGUCUUAGCUUGCUAAGGCUGAUGGCGACCGGCGCACGGGUGAGUAACACGUAUCCAACCUGCCGUCUACUCUUGGCCAGCCUUCUGAAAGGAAGAUUAAUCCAGGAUGGGAUCAUGAGUUCACAUGUCCGCAUGAUUAAAGGUAUUUUCCGGUAGACGAUGGGG